This 664-nucleotide ribosomal RNA is filed under the name alpha proteobacterium SCGC AAA163-K11. RNAcentral's name for it is "bacterial SSU rRNA". It matches the Rfam family "Bacterial small subunit ribosomal RNA", at positions 89 to 787 of the family's 1533-position model. The record is from RNAcentral. Lineage: Bacteria; Pseudomonadati; Pseudomonadota; Alphaproteobacteria.
UACUUAGUGGCAGACGGGUGAGUAACAUGUGGGUAUCUACCCUUUGGCCUGGAAUAACACGAGGAAACUUGUGCUAAUACCGGAUAAGUCUUUACGGAGAAAGCUUUAUGCACCAUUGGAGGAGCCCGCACUUGAUUAGUUUGUUGGUGGGGUAAUAGCCUACCAAGACUAUGAUCAAUAGCUGAUUUGAGAGGAUGAUCAGCCACAUUGGGACUGAGACACGGCCCAAACUCCUACGGGAGGCAGCAGUGGGGAAUCUUGCACAAUGGAGGAAACUCUGAUGCAGCGAUGCCGCGUGAGUGAAGAAGGCCCUUGGGUUGUAAAGCUCUUUCGUCGGGGAAGAAAAUGACUGUACCCGAAUAAGAAGGUCCGGCUAACUUCGUGCCAGCAGCCGCGGUAAUACGAAGGGACCUAGCGUAGUUCGGAAUUACUGGGCUUAAAGAGUUCGUAGGUGGUUGAAAAAGUUGGUGGUGAAAUCCCAGAGCUUAACUCUGGAACUGCCAUCAAAACUUUUCAGCUAGAGUAUGAUAGAGGAAAGCAGAAUUUCUAGUGUAGAGGUGAAAUUCGUAGAUAUUAGAAAGAAUACCGAUUGCGAAGGCAGCUUUCUGGAUCAUUACUGACACUGAGGAACGAAAGCAUGGGUAGCGAAGAGGAUUAGAUACCC